RNAcentral lists this long non-coding RNA (1309 nucleotides) under Oreochromis niloticus (Nile tilapia). RNAcentral describes it as "lncRNA (ENSONIG00000035220.1)". The record is from RNAcentral. Lineage: Eukaryota; Metazoa; Chordata; Actinopteri; Cichliformes; Cichlidae.
UGUCCAGCAACGUUAAAGGCGAGGCUCGUGGAGGAGCGCGCGCCUGCUCUGCGCGCAAACGUCUCCAGCAGGAAGCAGACGCAGCACAGACCCCCGCUCCAGGGUGACGGGCUCUCAGCAUCCCCGCAAACAUUUACCAAACCCCGAGUAACACAUACGCCACUUUCACACCACCGAGGAAGAAAGGUGGGACCUGUCCAGGUGUGGAGGGUCGACGUUGAAAAAGGAGCCACGAAAAUUCAGAGUAUCCAGGAGGAAGCGUCUGCCUUGGGCCUUUUGUUUCCUCCUCUGGGAGUCUGAGUUAGUCUGCCAUCGAACAUCCUGGAAGUCUGAGGAAGUUCAACAAAGCCCGAGCGUGAUCUCAUCGUUAUCUGUGCGAGCAAAGUUGUGCCAGUCUAAACAACCCCCAGAGGGUUUCGCUUCAGAUCAUCAGGUAGUUGAUGAUGUGAUGUUUUGAUUGUGGGCUUUUCUUGUUACUGUCAUAUAUUAAUUAGCAAGCAGCUGUGAACAAAGGGAAAAAGGAUUACGCCACCAGUUUUGUCUGUUUUAGUUUGACUACAAACGCUGUCAAGUUAUUCCACAGAAAGUGACAUACGAGGGUUUAACACUCAUAUAUGUAUUUGGGUUCAUGUUUUUCCACUGUGGCAGGUCAAACGGGCAAAAAAUGACACACAGAGUGGUUUAUGUUACCCAAACUGUAACCACAACCAGGUCAGCAUGGUAAAUGUUACCUGGUUAAAAUUACUAUUUGGUUCUGGAACAAGUUCAUUUCUUUUUUAUAUUUCUGUUUUUUUCUUUUUCCUUUUUAAGCGCUCUUUUUGUAACCAGGAAGUUGAGCUCUUGAGAUGAGUGAUCUCUUCUCUGCAAACAUCCUGGCCCAACAUCUAACUUUUCUUCCUGUCACAUGUGGGCGAAUCGCAGGGACAACAUGCAAACAAAGCAUACGUGCUGCUCUUUGUAUCUACCGAACUUGAAUAUGUAAAAACAGAGGAUGAGGACGAGGUUGAUGUCGUCGCUUUGCAUCUGAAGGCCACAUAAUCAGUUUUUCAGGAUACACGCGGGGUGGCUGUAGCUCAGGUGGUAGAGCGGGUCAACUACUACUCAAGAGGGUUGGUUGUUCGAUCCCAGUCUUCUCCAGUCUACAUGCCAAAUAUCCUUGGGCAAGAUACUAACCCCUGGUUGCUCUCCAAUGCAUCCAAAAAAACUUAGAAGUGUGAUUGGGUGAAUGAAUGAGUUGUGUAAAGCGCUUUGAGUGCUCAGAUAGAGUAGAAAAGCGCUAAGAACAAGUCCAUUUUUUUACAUUUCCUGU